Molecule: ribosomal RNA, 1179 nt
Filed under: Triticum aestivum (bread wheat)
Lineage: Eukaryota; Viridiplantae; Streptophyta; Magnoliopsida; Poales; Poaceae
Description: partial small subunit ribosomal RNA
Source: RNAcentral
AUGGCCGGUGGUAGUUCUGCUGCAGAAGGUGACAAGGCGAAGGUGGUGACCAUCCUGAGCAUCGACGGCGGCGGCGUGAGAGGGAUCAUCCCGGCCACCGUCCUCGCCUUCCUCGAAAAGGAGCUCCAGAAACUGGACGGGCCGGAUGCUAGGAUCGCGGACUACUUCGAUGUCGUCGCCGGCACGAGCACGGGCGGCCUCUUGACGGUGAUGCUCGCGGCGCCGGACAAGGAUGGGCGGCCGCUGUUCGACGCCAAGGAUCUGGCCAAGUUCUACAUCGACGAGUCGCCCAAGAUCUUCCCUCAGAACUGCAGGGGCUCCAUCUUCUCCAAGAUCGGCUCGGCUCUGGCUCUGGCGACGGGGCCCAAGUACGACGGCAAGUACCUCCAUUCGCUGCUCCGUCAGCACCUCGGCGACACCAAGCUGGACGGGGCUCUGACCCAUGUGGUCAUCCCGGCAUUCGAUAUCGCGUACCUGCAACCCACCAUCUUCUCCAGCUUCCAGUUGGAGAACCAGCCCGCCAAGAACGCGCUCCUGUCGGACAUCGCCAUCGGCACCUCCGCCGCACCCACCUUCUUCCCGGCGCACUACUUCGAGACCAACGACGGCAAGGGCGGCACGAGGGCCUUCAACCUCAUCGACGGCGCCGUGGCCGCCAACAACCCUACUCUAUUGGCGAUGAACCAGGUGGCGGAGCACAUGGUCCUCGCCGGGCAGCAGCCGGCGGGCAAGUCAUACAUAGUCAUCUCCAUCGGCUGUGGGACAUCAUCGCUCCCAAAACUCAAGUACAGCGCCAAGGAUGCCGCCAAGUGGGGCAUCUUGAGCUGGCUCAUCAAGGACGGCUCCGUCCCCAUCCUCGACAUGUUCAACGCCGGUAGCGCCGACAUGGUCGACUUCCACCUCUCCGUCCUCUCCGCCGUCCUCGGCUCCUCCCACCAGUACCUGCGCAUCCAGUAUGAUAAACUGAGCGGGAGCGCCGGCUCGAUCGACGACUGCUCCAAGGCCAACUUGGAUAAGUUGGUGAAGAUUGGUGAAGAGCUGCUCAGCGAGAAGGUGUCCGGGGUGGACCUGGAGACCGGCCGGAAUGUGGAGGUGCCCGGCGGGGGCACCAACGCGGAGGAGCUAGCCAAGUAUGCAAGGCAGCUCUCCGACGAGCGGCGCAGACGCCGCAACAAUUAA